AUGCACGUCAUACCCACACACAUCCCAUACGCACAUCACACACACCACACAUCCCACAGACACAUCCCACCCCCCAUACACGUCACAAACACAUCACACCUCUCACACACACUCAUAUCCACACACAUCCCAUACACACAUCCCGCACACACGUCUCACACACAUCCCAUACACACAUCACACAAACACACGUCCCACGCAAGUCAUAUCCACACACACACCACACCCCCACACAUCCCAUACACAUGUCCAACACACACACAUUUCCCCCCCACAUCACACAGACACAACCCACACACACAUCCCACACACAUCACUCACCCCCACACACGUCACACACACACAAGUCCCCCCAUCCCACACACACACAUUCCACACACGUCCCACACACACAUUCCCCCCCACAUCACAUGCAGACACAACCCACACAGACACAUCCCCCACAUGUCCCCCCACACACAUCCCCCAACACGUCUCUCUCACACACACACACACGUCCCACACACACACACGUUGACACCCCCCACACACACGUCCCCCCCCCACACCACCCCCCACACCCCCUCCACACACACACAUUCACACAUACAUCCCACACCCACGUCCCACACACACACCCACGUCCCCCCCCACACACCCCACACAUAUUCCACACACACACGUAUUCCACACCCACGUCCCACACGCGCGCACACAUCCCACAUGCACGCGCACACACACACACACACCUCCCUCACACACACCCAUCCCACACACCCGUCCCACACGCACACACACACAUCCCACAGACACGUCCCACACACACACACGUCCCACAGACACGACCCACACACACCUCUCACACACACACACCCCCCACACUCCCCCACCCACACACAGCCAGAUGUCCCACACACACACACACGUCCCACAUGCACACACACACAUAUCACACAGCCAGACGUGUCCCCUCCACACACACACAUCCCACCUGCACACACGUCACACAGCCAGACACCCCCCCAUACGCACACGCAUUCCACACACACGUUCCACACACAUCACACCCCACACACACACUCACCUCCACAGUGGUUCCUUCUCUCCUGGGAAGGAUCCAGUGCUGGCAGUUGGGGAGGAGUUCCAGGGUCCAGUCUUUAUUUCACCUCCCAAAUAGUCUUAUUUCACACACACACCCCAAAUUGUCUUUAUUUCACCCCCCCAAAUAGUCUUUAUUUCACACACAUACCCCAAAUAGUCUUUAUUUUACCCUCCUAA
RNAcentral lists this long non-coding RNA (1257 nucleotides) under Manacus vitellinus (golden-collared manakin). Its description in RNAcentral is "lncRNA (ENSMVIG00005010086.1)". Lineage: Eukaryota; Metazoa; Chordata; Aves; Passeriformes; Pipridae. The record is from RNAcentral.